RNAcentral lists this ribosomal RNA (373 nucleotides) under uncultured Bacteroidota bacterium. RNAcentral's name for it is "bacterial SSU rRNA". It matches the Rfam family "Bacterial small subunit ribosomal RNA", at positions 521 to 896 of the family's 1533-position model. The record is from RNAcentral. Lineage: Bacteria; Pseudomonadati; Bacteroidota.
UAAUACGGAGGGUGCAAGCGUUAUCCGGAUUUAUUGGGUUUAAAGGGUCCGUAGGCGGACUUAUAAGUCAGUGGUGAAAGCCUGUCGCUUAACGAUAGAACUGCCAUUGAUACUGUAAGUCUUGAGUAUAUUUGAGGUAGCUGGAAUAAGUAGUGUAGCGGUGAAAUGCAUAGAUAUUACUUAGAACACCAAUUGCGAAGGCAGGUUACCAAGAUAUAACUGACGCUGAGGGGCGAAAGCGUGGGGAGCGAACAGGAUUAGAUACCCUGGUAGUCCACGCCGUAAACGAUGCUAACUCGUUUUUGGGCUUUAGGGUUCAGAGACCAAGCGAAAGUGAUAAGUUAGCCACCUGGGGAGUACGCUCGCAAGAGUG